RNAcentral lists this ribosomal RNA (800 nucleotides) under Trichormus variabilis RPAN45. RNAcentral describes it as "partial 16S ribosomal RNA". It matches the Rfam family "Bacterial small subunit ribosomal RNA", at positions 47 to 1095 of the family's 1533-position model. Lineage: Bacteria; Bacillati; Cyanobacteriota; Cyanophyceae; Nostocales; Nostocaceae. The record is from RNAcentral.
UCUAAUCCUCCCCCACUUGACUCGCCUGGAAUCCUUCCCCUCCCCCCCCCCCUUUUUUUCCCCCCCCCCCUUGGGGAAUUCUCCCCCAAUGGGGCGAAACCCUGACGGACCAAUUCCCCGUGAGGGAGGAAGGCCUCCUUGGGGUGUAAACCUCUUUUUUCAAGGAAGAACACAAUGCCGGUUCUUGAGGAAUCCGCAUCGGCUAACUCCCUUCCAGCAGCCGCGGUAAUACGGAGGAUCCAAGCGUUUUCCGGAAUGAUUGGGCGUAAAGCGUCCCCAGGGGGCUAUGUAAGUCUGCUGUUAAAGAGCGAGGCUCAACCUCAUAAGAGCAGUGGAAACUACAUGGCUAGAGUGCGUUCGGGGCAGAGGGAAUUCCUGGUGUAGCGGUGAAAUGCGUAGAGAUCCGGAAGAACACCGGUGGCGAAAGCGCUUUGCUUGGCCGCAACUGACACUGAGGGACGAAAGCUAGGGGAGCGAAUGGGAUUAGAUACCCCAGUAGUCCUAGCCGUAAACGAUGGAUACUAGGCGUGGCUUGUAUCGACCCGAGCCGUGCCGUACCUAACGCGUUAAGUAUCCCGCCUGGGGAGUACGCACGCAAGUGUGAAACUCAAAGGAAUUGACGGGGGCCCGCACAAGCGGUUGAGUAUGGGGUUAGAUUUGGAUGCAACGGGAAGAGCCUUGGCAAGACUUGACAUGUCGCGAACUUCUUUUAAAGGAAGAAGGUGCUUUUUUGGUUUGAACACAGGCGCGGGAUAGAAUAGGCAGCCCUUGUUAAUAUUCCUCAAUACAGUCCGCCAUGG